Molecule: ribosomal RNA, 497 nt
Filed under: uncultured bacterium
Lineage: Bacteria
Description: partial 16S ribosomal RNA
Rfam family: Bacterial small subunit ribosomal RNA
Source: RNAcentral
GACGAACGCUGGCGGCGUGCCUAAUACAUGCAAGUAGAACGCUGAAGAGAGGAGCUUGCUCUUCUUGGAUGAGUUGCGAACGGGUGAGUAACGCGUAGGUAACCUGCCUGGUAGCGGGGGAUAACUAUUGGAAACGAUAGCUGAUACCGCAUAAAAUUGAUUAUUGCAUGAUAAUUAAUUGAAAGAUGCAACUGCAUCACUACCAGAUGGACCUGCGUUGUAUUAGCUAGUUGGUGAGGUAACGGCUCACCAAGGCGACGAUACAUAGCCGACCUGAGAGGGUGAUCGGCCACACUGGGACUGAGACACGGCCCAGACUCCUACGGGAGGCAGCAGGAGGGAAUCGUCGGCAAUGGGGGGAACCCUGACCGAGCAACGCCGCGUGAGUGAAGAAGGUUUUCGGAUCGUAAAGCUCUGUUGUAAGAGAAGAACGGGUGUGAGAGUGGAAAGUUCAUACUGUGACGGUAUCUUACCAGAAAGGGACGGCUAACUACGUG